Molecule: ribosomal RNA, 163 nt
Filed under: Bulbophyllum bracteolatum
Lineage: Eukaryota; Viridiplantae; Streptophyta; Magnoliopsida; Asparagales; Orchidaceae
Description: 5.8S ribosomal RNA
Rfam family: 5.8S ribosomal RNA
About the family: 5.8S ribosomal RNA (5.8S rRNA) is a component of the large subunit of the eukaryotic ribosome. It is transcribed by RNA polymerase I as part of the 45S precursor that also contains 18S and 28S rRNA. Functionally, it is thought that 5.8S rRNA may be involved in ribosome translocation.
Source: RNAcentral
ACACGAAUCUUAGCAAUGGAUAUCUCAGCUCUCGCAUCGAUGAAUAGCACAGCAAAAUGGGAUACGUGGUGUGAAUUGCAGAAUCACGCAAACCAUCAAGUCUUUGAAUGCAAGUUGCGACCGAGGCCAACCGACCAAGGGCACAUCCUCCUGGACGUCAAGC